This 543-nucleotide ribosomal RNA is filed under the name Fusarium sp. T13. Its description in RNAcentral is "eukaryotic LSU rRNA". The stretch from base 178 to 331 matches the Rfam family "5.8S ribosomal RNA". The record is from RNAcentral. Lineage: Eukaryota; Fungi; Ascomycota; Sordariomycetes; Hypocreales; Nectriaceae.
UUCCGUAGGUGAACCUGCGGAGGGAUCAUUACCGAGUUUACAACUCCCAACCCCUGUGACAUACCACUUGUUGCCUCGGCGGAUCAGCCCGCUCCCGGUAAAACGGGACGGCCCGCCAGAGGACCCCUAAACUCUGUUUCUAUAUGUAACUUCUGAGUAAAACCAUAAAUAAAUCAAAACUUUCAACAACGGAUCUCUUGGUUCUGGCAUCGAUGAAGAACGCAGCAAAAUGCGAUAAGUAAUGUGAAUUGCAGAAUUCAGUGAAUCAUCGAAUCUUUGAACGCACAUUGCGCCCGCCAGUAUUCUGGCGGGCAUGCCUGUUCGAGCGUCAUUUCAACCCUCAAGCACAGCUUGGUGUUGGGACUCGCGUUAAUUCGCGUUCCUCAAAUUGAUUGGCGGUCACGUCGAGCUUCCAUAGCGUAGUAGUAAAACCCUCGUUACUGGUAAUCGUCGCGGCCACGCCGUUAAACCCCAACUUCUGAAUGUGACCUCGGAUCAGGUAGGAAUACCCGCUGAACUUAAGCAUAUCAAUAAGCGGAGGAA